GAUGAACGCUGGCGGCGUGCCUAAUACAUGCAAGUCGAGCGAACGGACGAUAAGCUUGCUUCUCUGAUGUUAGCGGCGGAAGGGUGAGUAACACGUGGAUAACCUACCUAUAAGACUGGGAUAACUUCGGGAGACAGGAUCUAAUACCGGAUAAUAUUUUGAACCGCAUGGUUCAAAAGUGAAAGACGGUCUUGCUGUCACUUAUAGAUGGAUCCGCGCUGCAUUAGCUAGUUGGUAAGGUAAAGGCUUACCAAGGCAACGAUGCAUAGCCGACCUGAGAGGGUGAUCGGCCACACUGGAACUGAGACACGGUCCAGACUCCUACGGGAGGCAGCAGUAGGGAAUCUUCCGCAAUGGGCGAAAGCCUGACGGAGCAACGCCGCGUGAGUGAUGAAGGUCUUCGGAUCGUAAAACUCUGUUAUUAGGGAAGAACAUAUGUGUAAGUAACUGUGCACAUAGUGACGGUACCUAAUCAGAAAGCCACGGCUAACUACGUG
Molecule: ribosomal RNA, 497 nt
Filed under: uncultured bacterium
Lineage: Bacteria
Description: partial 16S ribosomal RNA
Rfam family: Bacterial small subunit ribosomal RNA
Source: RNAcentral